This is a long non-coding RNA of Hypanus sabinus (Atlantic stingray), 768 nucleotides long. RefSeq lists it as uncharacterized. The transcript is spliced from 5 exons. The record is from RefSeq and is a predicted model, not a curated record. Lineage: Eukaryota; Metazoa; Chordata; Chondrichthyes; Myliobatiformes; Dasyatidae.
AACCGGGUCACACGCACAAAAUGCUGGAGAAACUCGGCAGGUCAGGCAGCAGCAAGGGUGGGGAUUAAUCAAUUGAUGUCUUGGGCUGAGAGCCUUCAUCGGGACUUCAGAGGAAGGGAGCAGAAAGGAAACCGGAUUCUGAACUUGUGGAACCAAGUCAAUUGGGUAUUCAUUUAAGGAUCUUUGCUUGAGACUAUUAACUUGAAAGCUCUGAUGAAGGAUCUCAGCCGAAACAUCAGCUUUUUACUUCCCUCCAAAGACAACGCUGACCUGCUGAGUUCGUCCAGCAACUUGCAGCCCAGGGAAUUGGAUGCCAGAUCGUAUGAUUCAGAUUUAGAUUUCACAGUCUCCGCAUGCUGAUCUAAGACGAGACCACCCUGAACCGUGGAUGCCACAGUGGGACAGACAGAAUAGCAAAAUGCACCAGUAACCACAAAUGAGAUUUGCAGCUUUCAUUCUGUGAAGCAACAAGAAUGCUUGGCUGCCCUUGGAAUAAAUGACAUGCACAAUGGGAAAGGAAGAUGUGGUGAUAUCACAUAUCACGUGUAAGAACGUGAUUGGACAGAGUUUGGAGCAAGCGCAAAAAUGACAGAAUGAUCGAGAAACUUGUACAGUGAAAAUGUGGUUGCUGUUUGCUGUUGUAAAUAAAAGUUCUAGUUCUAUUCUUCCAGAAUAUGUUUUGUUAUUAGAAACCCACAGUAUGUAUAAAGAACACAACACACGUGAGAUGUCAUCAUGUGCGUUGUUUGUUUUACAGACCUCACAGCA